Oncorhynchus tshawytscha (Chinook salmon) is the source of this 773-nucleotide long non-coding RNA. The record is from Ensembl. NCBI's taxonomy places the organism in Eukaryota, Metazoa, Chordata, Actinopteri, Salmoniformes, Salmonidae.
GGGUCAGGUUGGGUGUCGGUCAAGUUGUGUGCGUCAGGUUGCGUGUGGGUCAGUGUGAAUCAUGUUGGGGUUAGGUUGGGGGUCAGUGUGGGUCAGGUUGAGGGUUAGGUUGGGGGUCAGUGCAGAUCAGGUUGGGGGUUGGUGUGGGUGAGGAUGGGGGUUAGUGCGGCUCAGGUUAGGGUCAGUGCAGGUCAUGUUGGGGGUUAGUGUGGGUCAGGUUGGAGGUCAGUGCAGGUCAGGUUAGGGGUCAGCUUGGUGGUUAGUGUGGGUCAGCUUGGGCGUCAGUGCAGGUCAGGUUAGGGGUCAGCUUGGGGGUUAGUUUGGGUCAGGUUGGGGGUCAGUGUGGGUGAGGAUGGGGGUCAGUGCAGGUCAGGUUGGGGGUCAGUGCAGGUCAGGUUGGGGGUCAGUGCAGGUCAGCUUGGGCAUUAGUAUGGGUCAGGUUGGGGGUCAGUGUGGGUCAGGUUGGGGAUCAGUGUGGGUCAGGUUGGUGGUCAGUGCAGGUCAGCUUGGGGGUUAGUGUGGGUCAGUUUGGGGGUCAGUGCAGGUCAGGUUGGAGGUCAGUGCAGGUCAGGUUGGGGGUCAGGUAGAAGGUCAUCUUGGGGGUUAUUUUGGGUCAGGUUGGGGGUCAGUGUGGGUGAGGAUGGGGGUCAGUGUGGGUCAGGUUGGGGGUCAGUGCAGGUCAGGUUGGGGGUCAGGUUGGGGGUUAGUGUGGGUCAGCUUGGGUGUCAGUGCAGGUCAGGUUAGGGGUCAGCUUGGGGGUUAGUUUGGGUCAG